GAAGGGGGGCGAGCGUUAUUCGGGAAUCACUGGGGCGUAAAGAGUACGUAGGUGGCAAUUUAAGUCAGUCGUUAAAUAUCACGGGCUUAACCGUGAAGAUGCGAUUGAUACUGGAUAGCUAGAGGGCAAGAGAGAGAAGUGGAAUUCCCGGAGUAGCGGUAAAAUGCGUAGAUCUCGGGAGGAACACCGAUUGCGAAGGCAGCUUCUUGGCUUGCUUCUGACACUGAGGUACGAAAGCGUGGGGAGCAAACAGGAUUAGAUACCCUGGUAGUCCACGCCGUAAACGAUGGUCACUAGAUGUGGGUUGGCUUCGCGCCGAUCUGUGUCGUAGCUAACGCGUUAAGUGAUCCGCCUGGGGAGUACGAUCGCAAGAUUA
RNAcentral lists this ribosomal RNA (376 nucleotides) under uncultured organism. RNAcentral's name for it is "partial 16S ribosomal RNA". It matches the Rfam family "Bacterial small subunit ribosomal RNA", at positions 526 to 896 of the family's 1533-position model. The record is from RNAcentral.